Long non-coding RNA from Acanthochromis polyacanthus (spiny chromis), 2242 nucleotides. RefSeq lists it as uncharacterized. NCBI's taxonomy places the organism in Eukaryota, Metazoa, Chordata, Actinopteri, Pomacentridae. The transcript has 2 exons. The record is from RefSeq and is a predicted model, not a curated record.
CAUUGACUUUAAUGUUAUGAGUGAUCGAGCAGCCCUGUCCCAAGAUGGCCGCCAUGUGGCGACGUCGCUCCCCAUAGGCUGACAGCGCUCAUGAGCCAUCUAGUGUUUGUAUAUAUCUAUGAUGCUAACAACACGACACAGUGCUGAAACAGGAAAUGACGCAAUACGCUCACCGUAACGUCAGACGUCGCCUGCAGAUCAGUCAACCACUAAAUCCAGUAAAUAUUAGCUUUAAUAUAAAUUAGUGAUGCUAACCGAGCGAGCUGCUCAGUCUUAGCUUGAUUAAACGUAUUGUAGCCUUAAGCUAACGAUGUUUGCAUUGUGUUUUAUGGAAACAGCUGAAGUGUGUUGUGUUAGUGUAAUGUGGUACAUUUAGUUAAUAAAACUGUGUGGAGACGCUGGUUCACAUUAAUGUAACGUUUAGAAAACCUAAAUGUGAUUCAAACAGUAAGGUUAAGGUUCUGUGUUGUCAGUCGUCCUAAAUAUCUGCUGAGUCUCUGAAGUUAAAAUGGAGAAAACAGUAAAUUUACUCUCUAGUCGUUAACAUUGUUUAAUGUCUGAUUCACAUGUUGUAGUACAUCUUAGUGCAGAUUUGAAAAAUAACCUCCCAGAAUAUGUCCAAAAUAAUGACGAACACUACAGUUAAUACAUUUAAACUGCAGCACAGAUAAGCUGGAUAAUAAAACCCUCUCCUAAAGCUAAAGUGACUACAGGUCUUUCUGUCAUUCAGUGCUUGGAAAACUAUAUGAAAGAGGAAAUCUUUCCAGGGAUACUUUAAAAUGAACCUCUGCUGUUGAUGCUGAUACUGUGACAUCUCUCUUCAUCUCAGGUGUCUCAUGUUCACUGUGAGGAUCUUCUGAGUGAAGCCAACAGAAGGAAAACCUCAUCUGGUUGUGAAGAAGGAGACUGAAUGGACGACAUCCUCAGUGAACCACUUCCUGUUUCACUUUCACUGACAGAAGGACAGAUCAACUCUUUCAGCAGUUUAUUAUUCUCUGUUCUUAGUAUUCACAGAUUCUAUUUAUCACCUUUAACUUCAUCUCUGCUGCUGUAGCAGAAAUACAACAGGGUUUCUGCAGGACAUUAAUAAUCAUUAAGUUGAUUUUGCAAAAAUUAAGGCCUUAAAUGGCAUUAAAAAUCAUUAAAUUUGAUUCUUGGUGGCAUUAAAAUUCCUUUCUGCAGUUUUCAAGAAAAUAGUUGACAAUAAUAUAUAUUUAUAGACUGCGAUUUGUCAGAUAUGUGCAUCUGCGUAAACAUGCCGAAGCAUUGAGAUAAUUGUUCCAGCCGGUUGGGUACAAUUUCUAAAAACUGCAUGUUUUUAAAGUGGCCGGCAGGCUGGACCAGGCUGUGAAAUGGGGAAACACAAAUUCCAGCAAAAAUGGCUCAAAAACGUGGAUUUCAGAGAAUGACUGCAGCCCGUUGGUGUUCAGGGGUGGUUCCCAGAUUCAGAAAUAGUCAAAUGUAGGGUUUUCAUAUAAAAACCAUCUUUUACAAAAAAAAAUAAAAUAAACCCGUGUAAUUUGAGUUCAUGGUCGUGGCAUUAAAAUUUUACAGUAUAGCAUUAAAAUUGCAUUAAAAAGCAUUAAAUUUGACUGGUUGAUAUCUGCAGAAACCCUGUACAAUAUAAAAAGUCCAUGUUAUUUGUAACAGAUAUGUAGCAUUAAAACAUCAACACAUUCAGGUCAAGAGCUUCAUUAUUUCCUUCAUUGCACAUUUAAAAACUGCAUUAUUUAACAAUUGUGAACUGUAAAGAUGUGUAAACACAUAAUAAAUGGAUGAAAUAAUGUGUUGCUGACAGUGAAGUGUAAAAACUGAACAGUCACAAGACAAGUUGUAUUAUGAAGAGAGGAGCUGAAUCUGCAGCAUUAUUGUUCUUAAUGAAAGGAUGAGGAGAACAUCAGUGCUGCUCUUCCUCACAGUGAUGGAGAGAAGACUGUUCAGACAACCACAGCUGGAUGUUCAUGUUCUCUGUAGCUUUCAGUCCAUCAGACUAGAUGUUCCAAAUGAUCCAGACCAAGGCUGGAAGGAAAAGACACGAACAGUGAGAAGAAGAUCUCCAAGGUUCUUUCAGUCCAACUGCUGGAACUUUAAAUAUCAGAAUGAACACAUCAGGGUACGAAUGAAACACAACAGAGUGUUGUAUUUUGUCCUACUUUCUAAUCUUAUAGAAAUGUUUGUUUUCCUGGUUGAGGCCAAAGAGUAUUUUACUGCCUUAGAUGGACAAUAAAGUUUAUUAUUUUUA